Capsicum annuum is the source of this 156-nucleotide ribosomal RNA. RefSeq annotates it as 5.8S ribosomal RNA. The transcript has a single exon. The record is from RefSeq and is a predicted model, not a curated record. Lineage: Eukaryota; Viridiplantae; Streptophyta; Magnoliopsida; Solanales; Solanaceae.
UACUCUCAGCAAUGUGUAUCUUAGCUCUCACAUCGAUGAAGAAUGUAGCAAAAUAUGAUACUUGGUGUGAAUUACAGAAUCCCAUGAACCGUUGAGUCUUUGAAUGCAAGUUGUGCCCGAAGCCAUUUGGUCGAGGGCAUGUCUACCUGGGCUUCU